AUGGACUUCAUCGAGGGAUUGCCGGCGUCCGAGGGCUACGAGGUCAUCAUGGUCGUCGUCGACCGCUUCACCAAGUACGCACAUUUCGUGCCUCUCCGCCAUCCCUUCACGGCUGCAACGGUGGCACGUGCCUUUUGGGACAAUAUCAUCAAGCUCCACGGCGUUCCUCACUCCAUCGUCUCCGACCGGGACUGCAUAUUCACCAGCAACAUGUGGCGUGCCAUUCUUGAUGCUGCUGGCACCAAACUGAGCUACUCCACGGCGUACCACCCACAAACUGACGGCCAAAGCGAGCGUGUGAACCAGUGUCUGGAGAUGUACCUGCGCUGCGCCGUCCAUGAUACACCAUCCAAGUGGCGCAAGUGGCUCUCGACAGCGGAAUUCUGGUACAAUACUACCUAUCAUUCCUCGCUGAAUACCUCACCCUUUCAGGCACUGUAUGGGAAGGAGCCCAAUUUUGGAGGACUGCCGACGCUCACCGCACAAUUGCCAGCAGAAACGAGCUCAGAGCUGGACUGGGCCACGCAUACAGACGCCCUCCGGGCACAGCUCGCGCGCGCCCAGAAUCGUGUCAAACAGAAGGCAGAUAAGCACAGGACGGAGCGCUCGUUCGCGGAAGGUGAUCAAGUGCUACUCAAGCUUCAGCCGUACGCGCAGUUUACGGUGGCUAAUCGCCCCUGCCCCAAGCUCGCCUACAAGUUCUUCGGACCGUUCACUGUCCUGCAACGCAUUGGCGCCAUGGCAUACAAGCUCCAACUGCCGGACAACAGCCGGAUACACCCAGUUUUCCACGUGUCACAGCUGAAGCCUUUCACACCGGACUACUCGCCGGUCUUCUCCGAGCUGCCUCGCGCGCCAGACCUCACCGCGGCUCCCCUCCAACCCGUGGCCAUCCUGGAUCGACGGAUGGUCAAGGAAGGCAACAACUCGGUGGUUCAGGUGCGCGUUCAGUGGUCAUCUCUUUCUCCAGCGUCAGCAACCUGGGAGGACUACAACGUGCUGCGCCUUCGCUAUCCUACGGCACCUUGCUGGAAGGACGACGCUGCCGCUCAAGGCGGGGCAACUGUCACACCUGAUACACCUGAUACAAGUGUAUCGGUGGACAUGUAA
RNAcentral lists this ribosomal RNA (1110 nucleotides) under Triticum aestivum (bread wheat). Its description in RNAcentral is "partial small subunit ribosomal RNA". Lineage: Eukaryota; Viridiplantae; Streptophyta; Magnoliopsida; Poales; Poaceae. The record is from RNAcentral.